Molecule: long non-coding RNA, 4570 nt
Organism: Numida meleagris (helmeted guineafowl)
Lineage: Eukaryota; Metazoa; Chordata; Aves; Galliformes; Numididae
Exons: 2
Source: RefSeq, a predicted model, not a curated record
GGUGGCCUUGCUGGUGAUUCCUCUGUACUUGGGGCCUUCUGAAGCUGUGCCAUCUUAUGUCUGCAAGCUAAAAAUAUCCCACUCACAACCAACCUGCCCCCUAAUGGGACUGACGGGUGCUCGCUACCUGUGGCAGGUUAACCGAGAGCGUGCUGGUGGAUGGAUGGUGCUGGGCUCUCCUGCAGUGCAGGGCUUUGAUUUAUUGGUGUUUCCUGACCCUGACAGCUGCCGGUGUUUUGUGCACAGCAGUCCUUGGAUCAUCGCAGAGAGCAAAAGGCAUUGCACAAAGAUUUCCAUUUUGCCGAAGGAGGGUGAUUUGAGUAAAUAGCUUGCCCCUGAUCCUCAAAGUUUCGGCGCAGCAUCCCUGCAUCCCACCACAGUCGGUCCAUAGCACUUUUGUGCUGGAAGAGAUUCCUCUGAAGCUGUGUAGGGUGGAGGAGAAAUCCUGGGGAAUGAAUGUACCCCCCCUUAACUGGACCUGCUCCACCUGCAGAGGGCCUAGGGACACCAGGCUGUAUUUAGGGAUGCCCGCAUGGGCAAGAUGAAUCUAUCCCAUGGAGAGCACUGGCAGCCACCCACCAGGAGCAAUCCUGAAAAAUAGGAGAUUACAAAAUCCACGCUGCCGGACAGAGGAGCUGUCUGCAGGCACCAGGAAAAGCAGAAUUACUCAUUGUAAUGAUGGUCUGGCACUAGCUUCCUUGUCAUGGUCUCGCACUUAAUACAGUAACAACUACUGACAACAAGAGAAUGGUCCAAGCUCAGAAAAUACUGUAUUUUGCCUGACUUCUACUUCAUUAGCAGGUAAAUGAAGUAAAUUGCCCAGAGGUUCCCUCUGCCUCAGUUUUGGCCACCUCUGCCUGGGUGAGUGACCUCCCAGACCCCAGGAGGACCACAAGGCUGGGGCUGUGGGUUAAGGUACAGACCCAGCAUGUCACAAAGCUGUUGUCACACAUUUCUCCCGAGGAGAGCUCAUCAGGUUCAGAGAGUGAUGGCUCCAUAAGUGGUGUUGUGAACAGAAGUGCUUUGGUUCCAGGCACCGUCAUUUAGACAAUUUAGUUGUCACUGAAGAGAAAGAGGUGACUUGCAUACAAUGAAUGAGCAUCUGCAAAGGUGAAAAUAGCAGGAUCUGGGAAGCUUUUUCAUCCUGUAGAGGGGAGGCACAGUGAGAAGCCAAAUGCCUGGAAGAUAAGCCUUGAGGCAGAGCUUGAAGGCAUUACUACCAGUGGCUCACUGUGACAAUACAGAGACCUGCUGACCCCAUAUAGCCUCAGGAGCUGUGCAGGGAUGCAUGAGGACCUGCUGAUUUGCUGUUGCCCAAUGGAAUCUAGCUGUGCUUCUGGCCAUGCAUGAAGGCUUUGUCCCAGGGACAAGCUCCACUCCCUGCCCUGUACUCAUUACUAUGUGAAUUAAAAGAACUGAUGAUCCCUUGUAAAUGUGUAACAUCUGGGAGUACCUCUGUGGGAUGAACGUUUUGCCAGCCUUGAGGUGAGUUAUCCGAAAACUCUUGCCAGUAGCAACAAACCUGGCACCUGCUGUGAGCACAUCUGGUCCCAAGCAUCACAGCAGAGCACAGUAAGAAAAACCCCAAGAUCCAGUCUGCCACUGCCACCCAUGUCCAGUCAUCAGCCCAGCCCCUGAGAUGGACACUGGUGUUUGAGAUGGGUGGAUAUACCUUGUUUGUGCAGGAAAGGCUGGAAACUGAAAUGGAUGGGAUUGAGUGCCUUGGCUUGUUUUUCUGCUCUGUUUUGCUUUGGCUUGCUGAACAACCCCAUCUGGCUUUUCUGAACAGCAGUGUUACUCACCUUGCACUUUAUGCUUUCCUGGGGAUCAGUAAUAAACAUCCCUUCAGUCGAUAAUGAAACAGGAAGGAAAAUUAGCAGCACUUCUACCACAAGCUCAAAGCCAGUCAAUCUCAGAGAAACGCCAUGGCUCUAACAUAGUGGUCAGAUACCUGCUGGGACUGGUCCCCACCUCUUCAGCCUUAUCCCUGCCUGUUUUUCCAACAAGUGAUAUUUCUCCCUAAAUUCAAGACAUUCCUGGGAGCAGACUGCCCCUCCAUCUAUUUCUACAUUUAAAGUGAUAUUUGUUGGAGCUUUUAAAUCCUCCAUAUAGCUGUUUUGAGGUGAGAAGUUAGUUUAGAGCAGGGGAAAGCUCAGGGAGGUGGAGGGAGCUGAGGCAAGGCAGACCCUGCUGGCUUUGGGAUGACUGCUUCAGGGACACGAUUGCAACCCACAAAUAUUGAACCACAUUGGUGCCAAGGAAGGAAAUAUUUAUAGUGGAAGAGGUAGGGGGGUAAAAACAGAGAUGGGAUGAUCCAGGCUGAGCACCAAGGAAAAGUAUCUGCCUGUGAAACUGGCCUCCUGAGUGCAGGCAAGGUGGAAGCUCCAUCAUUUGGGGAUGCUCAGAAUUACACUGAACAAGGUCUGAGUGAAUUCCCUCCAGGGAGCAAUCAUGCACCAGCUGAGACAGAUCUCUCCUGCCUCCCCACCCCUGCCUUUCACAACAUUUUCUUGUAGAACUGUGAGUAUCACUAAGGAAAUUAUUAGACCCACUUCCCCAGCGGCUGCGUGCUGCCUCCCUUCCAUUGCAGCUGCAAUGGCUCUGCCAGAUUGGUUUUCCCAGGGCUAUCUGAACUCUGUGUGAAGGGAAGAGGGAUGCUCAGCCCCUGCAUUGCAGCAGGUUCUAUGGCCACCGUGCUGCCAUUGACUGCAACCAGCCCCAACACCAGGUGUCUGAGGACAAGUGAAGCAGUUUGGCAUCACCCUUCCUCUGGCACCAUGGGUGUUAUCAAGGGGAUGGAUAACAAAAGAGAAAGAGAGCAAAGGAGAGCCAGAGCUCCUGGAGCAAGAUGCCUGUUGGGAGCUGGAACAUAAUCCAAAGCCUUUCCCAGAACGGUUCAAGGAUUAAAGCAUCCAUCUGGAGGUGGGCAGCAUGAAGGCUGGCAGUGGUAGGGCACCACCAGAUGUGAAAAAUCUUUGUGGAAAGAAAGCCUCAGUGCCCAGAGAGAGCUGAGCUCUUGACUGAUUUGUCUGCAGCAAGCAGUGAAGGAAAAGGUGCCCUUUGCUUUCACUGCCAUCUUUCCUUAAGGAAGAGCAGCAGAAGGGAAGAAGGCUUCACAGCAAUGCUGCUGAAAUGGGCAGAGGUCACACUGCUCCCACACUGCCCUGGGGUCAAAGUUUCCCUCUUCCCAUGCUCCCUAGGGGUUGCUACAGGGUGUCUGGUGUCAAGGACAACAUCUGGUGUGUGGCUUUGGGAAAGGUCACUGUCCUUAUCCCUGUCACAUAGAGGAGGGAUGGACUCACCCGGCUCUUCUCGAGCAGAAACACAAAUCCAGGCUUUCCAGCCCUGAGCAACAAACUGCAGAUCCACCGGCCCGCUCUGUUGGCCAGCUCCCGUGGUUUUGUUUGCUCUUGCUUUCAGAGACACCAAAUUAUCCCUACUUACAACUCAGAUUAGAGGAAGUAUGGUUUCUUCAGCCAUCACCACGGGAAAAAUCAGCUGGAAAGGACAAAGUGCCAUCAGUAACAUCCAGGGCUUCGGACUGAUUUUUCUCUCUGUGUUCUGGAAUAGUUGGACUUCAGGGUGAGACCAAGUGAAGAGAAAUCUUCAUCCCAGAAAAGCAAUUGUUUUCUUUAAAAAGGUAUGAAGCUGUUGGGAGAGUGACUUAAAUUUGAAGUGACCAUUUAGCCAUAACUGCGACUUUGCCAGGAAUUUGCUGUAAUGUGGAAUGACUCAGAAAUAUAAAAACUAAGGGGAAAACCUCUUCCUUUGUUCAAGGGAGAAAAAGAGAUGCAUCCUUCUCUAAAAUAGAGCUGAAAGCUCUGCAGUAUUGGAUCGUAUUCAGAAUAAAAACUGCAGAGAAAAUAAUCCUGAGGAUCUGGUCCCAGCCCUAGCACUGCCACCCUAUGAAUGGAUCCUGUUAUUCAGAACAGAGGGCUGUAAAAUGCAGCAUGUAAAUCAAUACAACAGACAAAUCUUCAGACAAAUCAGGUCUGAAGAUCGCCUGCAUGCUGUUAUUUUCCUGCACUGAUGGAUGUUCCAAGCUGCCACGUUUCCAGUCAGGCAGAAGGAAUGCCUGUGGCAAAGGGAGCAGGUAUGUGGCUGGUGGAGUCCUGUGCAAGGAGGGCAGAGAGGUAAACCUCCAGUCCAAAUGGGGCAUAUGGAGCCAGUGGGAUGCUGUCAGCCCGAAGUGCAUCUCCCAGCUGCUUUCCUAUCAGUUCCUUCCUUCUUUCUCCUUGAGUUCAACAUGCCAGACACUGUGGCCACGUCCUCUCCGAGCAGCCAGGGCUCUGUGCCCUUCUCCGUCAGCUUAACAUCAUCCCCAACAUCUAAACCAGAGCCUGGGUACAGCCUGGCACACGUGGCCCUCUGAGCCCAGCUCUCUCAUGAAGAUAAACGAUCCCAUUUGAUGUGAUGACAGGGAACAGCAGCUGGGGCAGCCUCUGUUGGUACAGAGAAUGAGACAUGAUCAGUACCUGUGGGCAAGGAAGGGGACAGUUUGCCCAGCUAAUUAGCCUUGGGUGCUAAUGACACUUAGAACAGAAGACCCCGACAUGCCGAGGUGAUGUCU